Long non-coding RNA from Homo sapiens (human), 4548 nucleotides. Ensembl annotates it as NTM antisense RNA 1. Its record names the gene NTM-AS1. Lineage: Eukaryota; Metazoa; Chordata; Mammalia; Primates; Hominidae. The record is from Ensembl.
AGAAGCGGUGCACACAGUCCCCCUCGCACUCACUGCUGCUCCCUCAAAGCUAGAGAACCAGAGCUGAGAAGCAGAAACCCUCUCAGUGGCCUGGCCCGUGCUGCAGACAGACAGAGCGGUCAAGGAAGGCCUCAGGACCAGAGGCAGAGAGAGGAAUGGAGUGAGAGAGAUCAAUGCUGGACCCAAGAUGAUUAACGUGCCAACCUGGGGCACUGGCGCUAGGGAGAUGGUCAGAUCGAUGGAUUCCAAGCAAAUGAAGAGCCUGGCGCAUUCGGCAGCCAAGCUGUGAAGUUAAACACAGCGACGGGGCCAGGCGUUUGGUGAGCGAUGAGGGUGAUGAAACAGGACACAUAUAUCUUGGGAAACAACACUGAGAGGCCAGAUCUGGUUCUGAAAAAUGUCUUUGCUCCUUGUCACCUUUCAAAGGCAAAAUCACAGCUCUGACAAAUACCAAGAAGAAUUCCCAGGUGUGUCUGCAGCCGUGAAAAUGUGACAUGAGUCACAGUGUCUUCGGAGGAAAUGAAAGACCACAGGACGGGGACAUGGCAUCAUGAAAAAAGAUGCUUUGUGAUUUUCAACAUAUGGUGACACUUUUCCUAAUUUAGAGGGGGAAGCUGGGUUUUGAGUUUUCUUUUAUCCUCCCUCUUUGUUAAAAGCAAGAGAAAGAAGAUUUAAAGAACAUCUGUGUAUUCAAAUGAUAGAAAUAGAAUUAUACACUUUCAAAAACAAGUUCUAGUAUUUUUGUCUCUUUCAAAGAUUUCCGAAGCCUAUAGAUUUCUCUCGUGUUUGUGAGAGCAUUUCCUCUGAGACCUUAGACAUAGUGUUGAAGUUGAAAUGGUUUUUGUCUUUUUCCCCUUUCUGUUAACCCAGCCCCCACUUCAUUCUGUUAAUCUCCUUUAAUUGGACUUAAGAUAAGACUGAGUAUGUUCAAUAUUUUUAUUGAAUUGAGUUUUAUGUUUCCAGUCUGGAUUUAUAGACUGUUAAAUAGAAUGUUUUACGUUUCUCUCUCUCGCAAAGAAAAUAACAAAUACGUGUGGGACAGAGCCAUCAGUCAAUUAUAUCAGUGGAUUGUUGGCAACUCACAGGGGGAAAAAAAAGAGCAUUUUCACUCUACUCUUAGGGGAAAGCAAUUAUAUUUAAGAGCAGUAGAAAGCCAAAACUAGCCUGGAACUUCAAAACGCCUUUCUUGACUGACCAAGAAAAGGUACAGUGACUACAAUGACAAACCAGCCCCCAGCUCUUUUAGAAAUCUACCCUGCCUCAUGCUAAAGAGAAAGUAAGUGAUGUUUCAGCCUCGGCGACCAGGCAGGAAUAGAAAAAUACAUUGACAGUAGUUGGAUAGACCUUAAAAUUAAGUAAAAAUUUCUUAAUAUACAAGAUCUCAGUUUUCCCACAAACCUCCUUUCUGUCCAGAAAUUUCCAUGCCAUUUACUGCCUGAUCAUGUCAGGAAUGACGUUCUUCCUUGUUCUUGAUUUUCCUUCCUGGAAUGUUUUAAUCCUGCCUCUCCAGAACACUUUUCCCUACUUCUUCUAGGCCCUACUCACAGCAAUGUAGCUGACACAUAGCAUUAGCGUGCAAAACCUCAAAUCCUUUCUGACUUGGAACUUCACCCAGGAAAGACCUCUAGCAAAAGUGCUGGCCAUUGUGUCACAGGACAAACCCCUUUCAAAGAACAAAGCCAUCAUCAUCUCAAAAGCCACAGUCACCACCUGGACCUUCCGUCCUGAGGAAAGGAAUCUCCACCGAAUCUAGGGGGAAGACCCCCCCACCAGUCUGUGCAAAAGAUGAAGAAUUGAGUAUGCACCUACCUGUGCCCUUCCAUUUCCACCUCUUCCCACCUUCCCCGUUUCUUUUUCCGUUCAUUUUUUUUUCCACUUUAAAAACAUCCAACUUUGCCUUGGGGAUGAGCAGAAUGAAAUGUCACUUACCUAUAAAAAGAGACAGAAGAGAAAGCCAUGCAUCACAUUACACACAAGUUCUUUGAAAUCAAGGCCAGCUUCCGACUUUGAAACUGUAACAAUGAGUGAAUAUUAUUUUUUCAUCCUACCUUUCUAUAUUUAAUGAAACUCAGGAGUUCGCAAGUAGCCUAUCCCCAGGGCCCAGUCUCCCUUCGUGAUUUUCCUUUUGUUUCUUUGCCUCCUCCGUCCCUCUUCACCACCCUAGCCCCACACCCUCUGUCCCCGCUUCAUGGAUGAAAGGUCAGGAAGGAAUAAGGGGGGAGGGGUGCACAGACCCAGAGAUCAAGGCCAGCCCUCAGAUGUGGGCAGCAAGGUUUCGAGGCAUGAGGAGCCGCUUUUCACCUCUUUUCUCACAGGCCACAGAGAUGGGACCCAGGGUCAGUGCCGGCUGGUGCCUCUCGGGAGGAGGGAGGAAGGUCAGCUCCCUGCAGGGUGAUUUUCCACCUGGUGGCUUCUGGGCUCUUUCAAAUGACUCUGCUCUGAGUCUUCCUCCUCUCUCCCUCCCUCACCCUCACCCCCUCCGCCCUCCUGGUUUGGGUGUGAAUGAAUUCACCCAAGGUCUCCAUCCCCCUCUUCAUCCUGCAGCAUCUGUCUUUCAGACCUGCUUCUACAGAAAACCUCAUUAUUGCAGCACCCUGAGGCCAACAACCACCUGAAUGGGUCAUUGUGUUCAGUCCCCUGCCUCAAUACAUGAUGCAAACUGGCCCACCCGAGUCCUACGGGACACUUUGAGAACCCUGAGAUACUGAGUCCCCGCCUUGCCCGGCUCCUGGCCGCAGAGGCUCCCUGUCUUCAUGCAACAAGCUCCUUGUGGCCGACUGAUUCGGUUCUGUCGGCUGUAAGGAAGCCAGGCUCUGAGCAUUCUACUUGCAAGAACAGCCCCUCACCCACCACGCUAUGUAGCGGAUCCUUCACGUGCUCACAUAUUGGAAAAUUGGCUUCAGGGUCCUGCCAGUGUCUUCUUCUUCUUAUGCCUGAAUAACUCAUUUCCUUUUAGACUCUUCUUAAAGGUUUCAGUUUUCCAUCUUUCCUCCUCCAAGCUCCUCUGAGACCCUCCGUGGAGGACAGCUCAGAGCUAAGCCCUGGAGAGAAAAGCAGCCACGUGUCCCCCGAUUCUGUUGCUGCAUCCCCCAAAGAGAUUUCCAACCAAGAUGCUCUGCCAGAAAUGGAAUUACGGUCAAAUAUUGCAUCCCGAUCACAUUGGUAUGUUAAAGACUUGGAGAGGGUUCGAGGUAAAGAUCUAUGCUGAAACUUUUCCUAACGGUAUUUGACUCAGAAAUGUUUCUUGCUAUAUAUAAACUAAAACACCGUACUUCAGAAGGAUGACUACUUUUUCUCUCAUUAUGAAUGUAAAACUAAAUACAAUUGAGUUGGUAUUAUCACAAGCAGUGGCCAGAGGACCUUGAAGUCGAUGGCCCGGCCACCAUGCCCUAUAGAAAGCUUGGGCUGAGGGCUCAGCAUACAGGGUCUGGCUCAACUCCCUCACCCAGUGUGAUGGAGGGCCAUCCCCUUGCUCCCUGCAGCUCUCUCACCUGUGAGACAGGAGGACCCCGAAGCACCCUGCACACUAGGAUGUGGUCAGGCUGCAACAAUACUUUAAAUGUGCUUUGCAAACUGUAAAGAGCACAACACUUUAAGGGUCUGUGGUGUCAGUACCUCUGUUCUUGAGGCCACACUCAUGGGAGAAGAGAUCACUUGGCCUCAGCUGCCCUGGGAGCUGGUGAAAAAUGUGUGGUUUUGACUGUGGUCUGCCAAUGAGACAUCAGAGGCAGCAGUUCCUUGAAUAUUUCCCCUGCUCUGGACCCUGAGGGAGGGAACUGAUACCAGAGGUCUUUUCUAUCUUUAGUAUCUAUACCUACAUGUCUUCCUCUAUUGCACAGGGAUGCUCUCUCUGCCUUCUCAGUGCUUACAUCUAUUUGUUUUUUUCUUUUUGGAGUCUCGCUCUGUCACCCAGGCUGGAGAGCAGUGGCGCGAUAUCAGCUCACUGCCAACCUCUGAUGCCCUGGUUCAAGCGAUUCUCGUGCCUCAGCCUCCCGAGAAGCUGGGAUUACAGGUGCCUGCCACCAUGCCCAGCUAAUUUUUUGUAUUUUUAUUAGAGACAGGGUUUUGCCAUGCUGUCCAGGCUGUUCUCUAACUCCUGACCUCUGGUGAUCCGCCCACCUCGGCCUCCCAAAGUGCUGGAAUUACAGGCGUGAGCCACCGCGUCCGGCCGCUUACACCUUUUAAAGCUUCUGAUUCUGCUGUCUCUGCUCUGUGGCUUUGCAUCUGGGCAAGUUUCUCCGCAGACCAGGAACCUCUAAGUCGGGGGAGGAAAGAGAGGUCGCUGAAUCAGAGCAAGGCAUGCCGUCCUCGUCUGCAUCCUCUAUUACUCUUGAAUAAGAGAGAAUGCGAGGACAAACGGGCAUCAGCAUAGUGACGUGUCCAUGUAGGUUCACGAAUGUAAGAGCUGCACCACGUGGGUGUGGAAUGUUAACAGUUGGGGAGGCUGGGGCAGUGGGAAAAGGGGUCUAUGGGAAUGCUCUGUAUUUUCCCCUUAUUUUACUGGAACCUAAAACUGCUCCAAAAAUAAAGUUUAUGAAUGAAAACAAA